CAUCAGGCCAUCUUCGAACUGGUAGGAUAACGUGUGGUCACUGGCCUCAUCUUUCUACUGGUGGUUGGUCGUGUCUCAUCCGUUCUUUCCUCCAGCUCCAAUUCAUUGACUCAGGUGACUCAUUGAUAAAAUUAUUCAGCCGGGAAAUAUUAUUUGAGAACUAACACGCUACUAAGAGCUAUCGAUACAGUGGUAAGGAAUGCAUACUGUCCUUGUGGAGGUUAUGGCACAGUGCAGGAGACAGAUAACGGUCAGGGAACCACACAAACCAUCAUAACUGUGGCAAUUGCUUGGAAGGAGAGAGAUGUAAUGCCACAGGAAUCUACAAUUUCUGUGUUUGAUUUAGUCAAAGAAGUCAGGAAAGACUUCUGGCAGUGGCCAAAAGACGCAGGGGGGAGACAAGAACAUUCUAGACACAGGGAACAGCUUGUGCAAAGGCCCUGAGGCAAGAGGGAGGAUGGCAGUAUGAGUAAAUAAAAGAAGGCCAGGGGUGGCUGAAUUGCAGAGUUAGGGGCUUGUAGAAGAAGCAGCAGCUGGAGAGGUUGAUAGGAGCUGAAAACCACGUGAGACUUGAAGGCUAGGUUAAGGAGUUUGCAAUGCUUUCAAAGAGCAGUAGGAAGCUAACUAGGAUUGUAAACAGGUGUGUCUUGAUCAGAUCUGUAUUUUGCGGGAAAAAAAAUCACUCUCAUUGUGUUUGGAAUAAGAGGCCAGAGACGGGCCAGGUUGAUGUAUUAGUUUUGUAUUUCUGCUGAAACAAGUUACCACAAUGAAGCAGUUUAACACAAUAUUGGAGUUUUUGUAGGUCAGCAGCCGGGGCACAGCUGGGUUCUCCUUUAGGAUCUCCCGGGGUAGAAAUACAGGCAUCAGCUGGGCUGAGGGCCUCCUCUCAAUUUCGGGGGUUGUUGGCAGAAUUCAUUUCCUCCUCCAGCUGUCCACGCAGCCCCUCCCAUCUUCAGGUCAGUAAUGCUACCAGGUCGAGUCCUUCUCACGCUUCCAGUGUCUCCAUCUUCUGUGCUGCCUCUGUCCUGCUUCCUCUUCUGCCCUCAGCCCGCAGACAGUUCUGCUGCUGAGGGCUCCUGCGGUUACACUGGGUGCACCUGGACCACCCAGGACACUCUCCCCGUUUUAAAGUCAAACUUAUGAAUAACCUUCAUUACAUCCACAAAGGCCUUUAUGCCAUGUAAGGUCUCCUAAGAAUGCUCUUUCAUGAAGUUUUACACAGAAGACAUUCCAAAAGUGUGCACCAGCCCUACCCCAAAUGUAAAAUAGACCCCCUGAGAACAGGAACUUUUCAGUUGUGUUCACAGCUAUAUCCUAGUGCCCGGGACAGAGGUUGACAUGGAGUAGUUGCUAAAUACGUAUUUGUUGAAUGAAUGAAAGGAGUGCCAGCUGGGUGCGAGAUUCUGUAUCAGAUGCUGGAGAUGCAGUGCACACAAGGACACCUCACUUUAUCGUGUCCAGAGGCAGCAUAUCAUCUCUGGGAAGCCAGAAUCGCCGGUGCAUGCUCCAUCUCCUCUCUCUCUUUGACUUCUGCCUCUCUUUCUGUCACGCUGUGCAGCUUAUCUUCCCACCCCAGCUACACUGCCAGCAACCCCUUCUCCUUCCUGAGGGAGGCACAGUGAAGUGCUCUGUGGACUACAACCUGGGAGGAGCCUCAAACAGCGGAGGAAGUUUCUGUGGCCCAGGAGGCUGGGUCAGGAAAUGGGUGGCUGUAACUGUAGGGAUGGGCACAGUUCACUGACGAGCCUGAGACUCAGUUCAACAAGCUGGCACUGAGCUCCUGCUGUGGGGGUUCUGGGCCACUCGCUUGCAUCUUCCUAACACACGUCUGGGUGUUUGAGAAUGUGAGCUCUGAAUGUGGAUGCAAAUGCAUGGCUAUCUACGUCCAAGAGAAGAAUGAAGUAGAGAAUCAUGCUCUCAAAGGCAAACUGAGACAAACUUCGCAAAUUGCAAUUAAAGAUGAACUGAGAUGUUACCAAGUUGCUACUUAGAAACUAUACAAAAUAUGCAAAUAUAUUUUCUUUAUAGAAUUAAGCUACCCAAGAACCAGACUCAAAAACAUUAAUUGAGCACCUAUUAUAUGCCAAGUCCUCUGCUUGGAAAACGGGUUUAAUUCUUACAGUGGUCCUUUGCAGUAUGUCUAAUUUUCCCCAUUUUACGGGUAACGGGCAAGAGAGCAGCCUGAUGCACUGGUCACGUCCUACAGACCGGCAGAGCAGGGGCGGGAACGCAGGUCUUCUGACCAUGGAUCCUGGGUCAUCUCCUGAGACACCAACCACCUGCUCAGCAUCAUGACAGCACAUUGGGAGGCAGCCUGGGGAGAGUCGAGAGCAGCGAUGGCUACGCCCGAUUGAGUUUACUCAAGAACAGUGGAGAAUUCAGGGUCCUGCUGCUGUCAGCCGCCAAAACCUUCCUAAUCCGCGCCUGCUUCUGGCUUCUAGUCCCUGGUUGGUUACUCCCAUCUGGAUUUCUCUACCUGCCUCUGAGAAAUUUACUUAAAUCCUGAAAAAACUUUCAGAGGGAGAAAAUGCUACCACGUCUGGAAAGACGCUGCCACAGAUCAUCCCGGUAUCUGACCUCAGGGGGGCGUUUUUGAAGCUCUGUAAGAGAAGGGCUCAGCGUGGGAUGCCUCUGACCUGCCCCUCCAGGAGCCUGCGCUUUGCCACGGGCAGCUUUCUGUGGUCAGCUGAGGAUGCCAGCAGUUAGAUGUCAGCAACAAGUUGUCUUCAAAAAGGGGUGGAGGGGCCGGCCCUGUGGCCUAGUGGUUAAGUUCGGUGCACUCAACUUCGGCAGCCCAGUUCACAAGUUCGGAUCUCAGGAGGGGACAUACUCUGCUCGUCAGCCAUGCUGUGGCAGCAACCCAUAUGUAAAGUGGAGGGCGAUUGGUAUGGAUGUUAGCUCAGGGCUAAUCCUCCUCAAGCAAAAAAGGAGGAAGGUUGGCAAUGGGUGUUAGCUCAGGGCUAAUCGUCCUCAGCAAAACAAAACAACCCCUCCACACACAAAAAGGGGGUGAGCUGGGGGCAGAGCAGGAAGGUGAGGAGCACGUGGGAUGAAGAAGGGACAUAUCUUCCUUAAUUAUUUCUUCUUAAGUCAGCAGAGGUUGGUUAGCAACAAGGGAGGGAAAUAGUUGGUAUGUUAGGAGCAAAGCUGGUGCAAUAAAUUAUGAAACUGGCUGUAGCAAAAAUCCUGUGAAAUACACCACCCACCCUUAGAAAGAUGGCUUCCCUUUGCCCUGGGAAAGCACAAUAAAGAUGUUGGGUAAUACCUACGCUUUACAGUAACCCAUUACAGAUUUCCAAAUGCCCCAUCACUGUCACAGAGCACCAAGGCCUGUGGACUCUGAUUUACAG
This 3350-nucleotide long non-coding RNA is filed under the name Equus asinus (donkey). Its description in RNAcentral is "lncRNA (ENSEASG00005032671.1)". The record is from RNAcentral. Lineage: Eukaryota; Metazoa; Chordata; Mammalia; Perissodactyla; Equidae.